UACGUAGGGUGCGAGCGUUAAUCGGAAUUACUGGGCGUAAAGCGUGCGCAGGCGGUUUGCUAAGACAGGUGUGAAAUCCCCGGGCUUAACCUGGGAACUGCGCUUGUGACUGGCUGGCUAGAGUACGGCAGAGGGGGGUGGAAUUCCUGGUGUAGCAGUGAAAUGCGUAGAUAUCAGGAGGAACACCGAUGGCGAAGGCAGCCCCCUGGGCCUGUACUGACGCUCAUGCACGAAAGCGUGGGGAGCAAACAGGAUUAGAUA
Molecule: ribosomal RNA, 261 nt
Filed under: uncultured prokaryote
Description: partial 16S ribosomal RNA
Rfam family: Bacterial small subunit ribosomal RNA
Source: RNAcentral